RNAcentral lists this ribosomal RNA (512 nucleotides) under Nerita funiculata. RNAcentral's name for it is "partial 16S ribosomal RNA". It matches the Rfam family "Bacterial large subunit ribosomal RNA", at positions 1826 to 2600 of the family's 2925-position model. The record is from RNAcentral. Lineage: Eukaryota; Metazoa; Mollusca; Gastropoda; Cycloneritida; Neritidae.
GUCUCUUAGAAACUAUUAAGAGUCAGGCCUGCCCAGUGAUCACUUUAACGGCCGCGGUACCCUGACCGUGCAAAGGUAGCAUAAUCAUUUGCCUUUUAAUUGGAGGCUAGUAUGAAUGGUCUGACGAGAGUAAAACUGUCUCAUAUAUAUUUAAUAGAAAUUAACCUAAAGGUGCAAAGGCCUUUAUUUAAUAAAAAGACGAGAAGACCCUGUUGAGCUUUAAUCUUAAUAAGUAUUUCUUCUAUAUUUAUAAAUUUAUUUUACUUACUAAAGAUUUUAAUUGGGGCGAUUAAGGAACAAGCAUAAGCUUCCUGAAUUUAAUCAAAAAAUGUUUAUAAAUUAAGUCGAUCCAGCAAUGUUGAUCAACAAAAUGAGUUACCACAGGGAUAACAGCAUAAUUCUCUUUGAGAGCCCAUAUCGAAAGGAGAGAUUGUGACCUCGAUGUUGGACUAGGGUAACUAGAAGGUGCAGCCGCUUUCUUGUUUGGUCUGUUCGACCAGUAAUUCCCUACA